Molecule: non-coding RNA, 823 nt
Organism: Electrophorus electricus (electric eel)
Lineage: Eukaryota; Metazoa; Chordata; Actinopteri; Gymnotiformes; Gymnotidae
Source: RefSeq, a predicted model, not a curated record
UUCUUCAGUCCUGCUACAGACAUGGCUCCGGCUGGCGCGCUUCAGUCCUGCUCGUGUUCCGCGCGUCGGUGAUGCUGUGCGUGCAGGUGGGUGCCUUCAGAUGACAUAACAUCGCAGAGGUCUUGAGGUCUGUUGUCAAAGCGAUGACUUAACUCUGAAAUUAAGACGCAGACUGCAGCAGCUGCGAGCGCCGUUUGUCUGGUGGAACUCUUCCGAGGGUCUGUAACGAGAGAGGAGCAGCACAGAGGGAGACACGGCUGGAGCCGAUGGCCAGCAGAUGAACCUCCGAACUCACCAGCAUGGAAUUCUGUGAACGAGGGAAGAGUGAGUCCUGUGUGGAGAGCAGAGCGGAAUGACAGGCUGUGGAGAUGGACACACAAGAGAGAGAGGAAGUUCACAAUCCUCAAAGGCAUUUGGCUGGGGUUGUCUCUCUCUCUCUCUCUCACACAAAACACCUUCCCACUCCCGCUCGGAGAUGGUAAUGUACCAGUAAUUGGUCCCAGUGCUGUGCAUCUGCAUCACCUUUGCCAGCAGGGGGCGUUGGCAGGCUGGCCACAGGUCUGUGUAGUCACUGUGAGAGCACAGCACACUGCUGAUGCUAUGCAAACCAGCACCUUGGUAUGGUUUGGAGUCCCAACACUGCCACACAGAAAGCAAAGUGUGCAUGUGUGUGUGUCGGUAAGCGCUGAAGAGAGUCAGCAUGUAGGGAAGGAGACGGCGUGACUUGUCGUGACUCCUGACUUGGACCUGGACAUUUGUAAAGCUGCUUUGUGACAACAGCUGUUGUAAAAAGUGCUGUGUAAAUAUAUUUGACUUUGACUCA